AGCAGCCGCGGUAAUUCCAGCUCCAAUAGCGUAUAUUAAAGUUGUUGCAGUUAAAAAGCUCGUAGUUGAAUUUCGGGAUCAAUACGUCGGUCGUGCUUCGGUACGUACUGGCGUCAUUGAUUUCUCCCUUCUGACGAACCAUGAUGUCAUUAACUUGGUGUCAUGGGAAAUCAGGACUGUUACUUUGAAAAAAUUAGAGUGUUUAAAGCAGGCUCACGCUUGAAUACAUUAGCAUGGAAUAAUGAAAUAGGACGUUCGAUCCUAUUUUGUUGGUUUUUAGGAUCAACGUAAUGAUUAAUAGGGAUAGUUGGGGGCAUUAGUAUUCAAUUGUCAGAGGUGAAAUUCUUGGAUUUAUUGAAGACUAACUACUGCGAAAGCAUUUGCCAAGGAUGUUUUCAUUAAUCAAGAACGAAAGUUAGGGGAUCGAAGACGAUCAGAUACCGUCGUAGUCUUAACCAUAAACUAUGCCGACUAGGGAUCGGAUGAUGUUAAUUUUUUAAUGACUCAUUCGGCGCCUUACG
This 521-nucleotide ribosomal RNA is filed under the name uncultured Glomeromycotina. Its description in RNAcentral is "SSU rRNA". It matches the Rfam family "Eukaryotic small subunit ribosomal RNA", at positions 569 to 1092 of the family's 1831-position model. The record is from RNAcentral. RNAcentral also lists the same sequence under 1 other name. Lineage: Eukaryota; Fungi; Glomeromycota.